UACGAAGGGUGCAAGCGUUGUUCGGAAUUAUUGGGCGUAAAGGGUUCGUAGGUGGGAAGAUAAGUCGCGUGUGAAAUCCCUAAGCUUAACUUAGGACGUGCCCGCGAAACUAUUUUUCUUGAGUAUUGGAGAGGGUCGUGGAAUUGCUGGUGUAGGAGUGAAAUCCGUAGAUAUCAGCAGGAAUACCAGAGGCGAAGGCGGCGACCUGGCCAAAUACUGACACUGAGGAACGAAAGCGUGGGGAGCAAACAG
This 252-nucleotide ribosomal RNA is filed under the name uncultured bacterium. RNAcentral's name for it is "partial 16S ribosomal RNA". It matches the Rfam family "Bacterial small subunit ribosomal RNA", at positions 524 to 775 of the family's 1533-position model. The record is from RNAcentral.